UCCUCCUCGGCCGUGUUCUUCCUCGCCUCCCACCCACGCCCUUGGUUUCAUGUCCACGAUUCAGACACCGUGGUGGCAACUUGCCCGGCGGCGGCUCCUCACCAUCCGCCCCCACUCUCGCCCUCCGCCUUCCCCAACAGAAGACACCACGCGAUGGAGAUAGCGGUGGCUGCACUCACGCUCCUGUUCCUCAGCCAUCUGAGUGGCCUUCUUGGAUUGAUUGUCUGGUGGCGGCGUGGUGUUAUUGGUUUGCUCAGCAUUCGCCAUCAUUUCAUCAAUUCGCAACAGUGGCCAUCGGUUCGGCCCUUCUGCUCCUGCGAAUCUGUGGAUCCAGCCCACGCGCAUGAUCUAGCCGAGGCGGGGGCCGCUCGAUCCAAUUCGACGCGGGGGCAAUCCAUCGCAGCAAGGGGGAAAUGGAGGGAUGCGGGUGAUGCAAGCCGACGCUUCAUCUGAUCGAAACUGCUCUGCUCAUAUUUGAAGGCCGCAAUCAUUAUACGGUUACUCUGCACAAAUUCAUGGCAGGGGAUGUCCUAUCCUUUCCGCUGCCUCAUGGUACAAUGUGGGGCUCGCCAAUCAAUGCGGAGAGGAUCUCACCGGCCGAUGCAAGGAAGUUCAUCCGCCGUUUUUCAAGCGAGGAGUAAAGUGCUCGCUUGUUUUGUAUAUAUCAAUUAAUGGCAGUCGAGGGAGCGAUGGUGACGGAUGGUGGAGGUUAUGGUAUAUUGUUUGGGUACUAUUCAAGGCUGGUUCUGGAAUUUUAUUGGAAGAGAUAUUGAUGGGUUGACUAUUUGCAAUGGCAAUCAGGUCUUUUACUAUUAGGCCAACAAGAAGCGCAGGCUGCACGCCGCGAGCACUGAGCGCAGUCGAUGAGCUCGCCGCCUGUUAAAACUCCGUUGCUGAACAUGUAUGGUGACCUUAAUAUAUAUCUCACAAACUACAUCAUGAUUGGUCUCCGCCCUUGGAAGCCCUUGGGAAGUCAUCACACGAGGCAUCUCAUCUAUCCUUAGCAUCAGCAUAGCAAGGACGAUGAAGUGGGUUUGAGCCAAGACCUCUAAUGAUGUUUCUACUUCUCUUUCUUCAAGUGCCUUCAUCUGGGUUUCUUCUCACCAGACAUGGAGGCGGGGCCGCUGGGGACACGUUAGUGCAGCUAGCUAGAUUCCACUGUAAUGAAGAUGGAGAAGACGAAGAGGGGGAGUAUAGCUUGAAUGUGUUGUAUCCAUCCUGACGACGUCGACGAUGUGCGCGUGCCGUAUGGCCGACCUGGCGAGCCUCCUGCCCUCGAGGAAAAAUUCCGCAUGUCAUGGAAGGAGCCGUACACGUACUGACGUACGUCUAUAGUGAUUCCGGCGGCGGUCUGAGUUCGUCUGACCAUCCAGGUUUCUCUGCAUGCACGCCGGCCGAGACCUACUCUUCUUUUCGCCGGACAGACGACGGCGCCUCGGACGCGAGCGGCUUCGCCGAGUGGCGCGAUCGGAACUAAUCCUGCACGAUGGGAGACGACUGCGGCGUCGUAGGGGCCGGAGGAGAAGGCAUCGCACGCAUGACCGAGAAGCUUGAAGACUUCCUCAACAGCGGCGGAAAGGUUCUUGUCCAAUUGAAUGAAGAGAUCAUUUUUUUACCGCGUCGGCCGUGGAAUACCAUGUCGAGAAGAUGUGCCAGUAGCGCAAACGGUCCGGGCUCCUGCCCACGGCAGCGUGGACGUCGGUGGCGAACAUGUUCGCUGCACCGGUGAGCAACGUGAAGAGCCGCUGGGCCACGCCUUUGUUCGUAUUAAGGCGUCGUAUUUGCAGGACGAAUAUCCAAGAUGGUUUUGCUUUAAUUUUUUUUCGUUUUCUACCUUGAUUAGCGGGAGCACAAUAAUUACCUGGUGCAUGCGACCCUGUUCUACUGCGUGUUUAUAGGAUACACGAACGGGAUGCGGGGCGGGGAACUUUCUCGACAGAGUUUUCGUCCGCCUAGACAAAUGGCUAAACGCACUUGUGACGUGGGUUAAUAUAAUUUUAAUGGUUAGAUUAAAUUAAGUGUCGCUGAUCAUGCGGCUGUAAUUGGUUCGUGUUGUUGUGUGUACGUAAGGCUGUGUGUACUUAGCAAUGAAUAUAUUUGCUUGUUUAAUAGUAGUAUAGAUCCAUCUUUUAUGUGUCCACAUGUUUACAUAAUUCCUAUCAUUAUAUCGAAGAAAUGGAUGAACGCGCGCGUCAUCCAUGAUCUAGUUAAUAAACUAUCUUGGUAUUAGAGUCUUCGCUCUUGGGCUUUUUAAACCCAGACGAAGGUAGUACUACAUAGAUUAGAUCUGCAAAUGAGUUUUUAUCUUAAAUUUAGUCCUUGCACGUGAAAAACAUUCAAUUACAAUCUAUCAUGUGUUAAGUCAUGUGUUAAGUCAAAUUUCGGAUAUACGAGUGUCUACUAUCGUAGAAACAAUGCACAUCAUGUGUUAAGUCAAAUUUCGGACACACGGGUGUCUACUGUGCGUACCGUCUACUGUCGUAAAAACAAUGCACGUCAUGUGUUAAGUCAAAUUUCAGAAACACAGGUGUCUACUGUCGUAAGCAUACCAGACGUAGACAUUUUUCUAAACAUAAACAUACGAUUACAAUGUACUAUUUCCGUUCAUUCUUAUCACUAUUAUAACACCUUUUGAAUAUUUUAUUAUAGACUAGAUACAGACAUAAAUGAGUAAACUAAUACACUAAAACAUGUCUAUAUACACGUCAUUUAAGAAAACUAGAAUAUCUUAUAACAAUGAAUGGAGGGAGUAUUUGUGAAGAUAAUAGGAAAGGUAAAACAUGAAUCUCAGCAUGUUUCACAACACGAUGUUUACACAAGCGUUACACAGAAGUGUUCUUGGUAAAGAGAACCAAUAACAUGAUCUUUACAGAUCAAGAUUAAGUCGAAACAUAGAUCUAGUGGCACCGUAAU
Triticum dicoccoides is the source of this 2913-nucleotide long non-coding RNA. RefSeq lists it as uncharacterized. The record is from RefSeq and is a predicted model, not a curated record. The transcript has 8 exons. Lineage: Eukaryota; Viridiplantae; Streptophyta; Magnoliopsida; Poales; Poaceae.